RNAcentral lists this ribosomal RNA (609 nucleotides) under Salmonella enterica subsp. enterica serovar Anatum. RNAcentral describes it as "partial 23S ribosomal RNA". It matches the Rfam family "Bacterial large subunit ribosomal RNA", at positions 1084 to 1693 of the family's 2925-position model. Lineage: Bacteria; Pseudomonadati; Pseudomonadota; Gammaproteobacteria; Enterobacterales; Enterobacteriaceae. The record is from RNAcentral.
CCCAGACAGCCAGGAUGUUGGCUUAGAAGCAGCCAUCAUUUAAAGAAAGCGUAAUAGCUCACUGGUCGAGUCGGCCUGCGCGGAAGAUGUAACGGGGCUAAACCAUGCACCGAAGCUGCGGCAGCGACACUGUGUGUUGUUGGGUAGGGGAGCGUUCUGUAAGCCUGUGAAGGUGUGUCGUGAGGCAUGCUGGAGGUAUCAGAAGUGCGAAUGCUGACAUAAGUAACGAUAAAGCGGGUGAAAAGCCCGCUCGCCGGAAGACCAAGGGUUCCUGUCCAACGUUAAUCGGGGCAGGGUGAGUCGACCCCUAAGGCGAGGCCGAAAGGCGUAGUCGAUGGGAAACGGGUUAAUAUUCCCGUACUUGGUGUUACUGCGAAGGGGGGACGGAGAAGGCUAUGUUGGCCGGGCGACGGUUGUCCCGGUUUAAGCGUGUAGGUGUGUGUUCCAGGUAAAUCCGGUUCACUUUAACACUGAGGCGUGAUGACGAGGCACUACGGUGCUGAAGCAACAAAUGCCCUGCUUCCAGGAAAAGCCUCUAAGCAUCAGGUAACAUCAAAUCGUACCCCAAACCGACACAGGUGGUCAGGUAGAGAAUACCAAGGCGCUUGA